CCCCAGCGCCACGAGUGGCAACCGCGUUUAUUGGGCCUAAAGCGUCCGUAGCUGGCCCUGUACAUCCUUUGUGAAAUCGUGCGGCUCAACCGUACGACGUGCAAGGGACACGGCAGGGCUCGAGACCGGGAGGGGUCAGAAGUAUUCCGGGGGGAGCGGUAAAAUGUUAUAAUCCCCGGAGGACUACCUGUGGCGAAGGCGUCUGACCAGAACGGAUCUGACAGUGAGGGACGAAAGCCAGGGGAGCGAA
RNAcentral lists this ribosomal RNA (250 nucleotides) under uncultured archaeon. RNAcentral describes it as "partial 16S ribosomal RNA". It matches the Rfam family "Archaeal small subunit ribosomal RNA", at positions 474 to 723 of the family's 1478-position model. The record is from RNAcentral.